GAGUUUGAUCCUGGCUCAGAUUGAACGCUGGCGGCAGGCCUAACACAUGCAAGUCGAGCGGUAGAGAGAAGCUUGCUUCUCUUGAGAGCGGCGGACGGGUGAGUAAUGCCUAGGAAUCUGCCUGGUAGUGGGGGAUAACGCUCGGAAACGGACGCUAAUACCGCAUACGUCCUACGGGAGAAAGCAGGGGACCUUCGGGCCUUGCGCUAUCAGAUGAGCCUAGGUCGGAUUAGCUAGUUGGUGAGGUAAUGGCUCACCAAGGCGACGAUCCGUAACUGGUCUGAGAGGAUGAUCAGUCACACUGGAACUGAGACACGGUCCAGACUCCUACGGGAGG
This 337-nucleotide ribosomal RNA is filed under the name uncultured bacterium. RNAcentral's name for it is "bacterial SSU rRNA". It matches the Rfam family "Bacterial small subunit ribosomal RNA", at positions 9 to 348 of the family's 1533-position model. The record is from RNAcentral.